RNAcentral lists this transfer RNA (62 nucleotides) under Scolytinae sp. BMNH 1043031. RNAcentral's name for it is "tRNA-Ser". Lineage: Eukaryota; Metazoa; Arthropoda; Insecta; Coleoptera; Curculionidae. The record is from RNAcentral.
AACACAAUAAAAAAAUUAAGCUUCUAACUUAUAUUACAAGCGAAUAAAUCGUUUUUGUGUUG